UACAGAGACUGCAAGCGUUAUUCGGAUUCACUGGGCGUAAAGGGUGCGCAGGCGGCCGUGUGUGUGAGGCGUGAAAGCCCGGGGCUCAACCCCGGAAUUGCACCUCAAACUACAUGGCUAGAGCAUUGGAGAGGGUAGCGGAAUUCACGGUGUAGCAGUGAAAUGCGUAGAUAUCGUGAGGAACACCAGAGGCGAAGGCGGCUACCUGGACAAUUGCUGACGCUCAGGCACGAAAGCGUGGGGAGCAAACAGG
RNAcentral lists this ribosomal RNA (253 nucleotides) under uncultured bacterium. RNAcentral's name for it is "partial 16S ribosomal RNA". It matches the Rfam family "Bacterial small subunit ribosomal RNA", at positions 524 to 776 of the family's 1533-position model. The record is from RNAcentral.